GCUGGAAUGCCCUGUAACCAAAAGCUCCGGCGCCCUAGGAUGGAUCUGCGGCCGAUUAGGUUGUUGUUGGGGUAACGGCCCAACAAGCCCGUAAUCGGUACGGGUUGUGGGAGCAAGAGCCCGGAGUUGGAUUCUGAGACACGAAUCCAGGCCCUACGGGGCGCAGCAGGCGCGAAAACUUUACAAUGCGGGAAACCGUGAUAAGGGAACCUCGAGUGCCUGUAUAUGCAGGCUGUCCAGGUAUCUAAAAAACACCUGAAGAAAGGGCCGGGCAAGACCGGUGCCAGCCGCCGCGGUAAUACCGGCGGCUCGAGUGGUGGCCACUUUUAUUGGGCUUAAAGCGUUCGUAGCUGGGUUGUUAAGUUUCUUGGGAAAUCUGACGGCUCAACCGUCAGGCGUCCAAGGGAUACUGGCAAUCUUGGAACCGGGAGAGGUGAGGGGUACUUCGGGGGUAGGAGUGAAAUCCUGUAAUCCUCGAGGGACCACCUGUGGCGAAGGCGCCUCACCAGAACGGCUUCGACAGUGAGGGACGAAAGCUGGGGGAGCAAACCGGAUUAGAU
This 560-nucleotide ribosomal RNA is filed under the name uncultured euryarchaeote. RNAcentral's name for it is "bacterial SSU rRNA". It matches the Rfam family "Archaeal small subunit ribosomal RNA", at positions 169 to 734 of the family's 1478-position model. Lineage: Archaea; Methanobacteriati; Methanobacteriota. The record is from RNAcentral.